AUUGAACGCUGGCGGAAUGCUUUACACAUGCAAGUCGAACGGCAGCACGGGGGCAACCCUGGUGGCGAGUGGCGAACGGGUGAGUAAUACAUCGGAACGUGCCCGGUCGUGGGGGAUAACGUAGCGAAAGUUACGCUAAUACCGCAUACGAUCUGAGGAUGAAAGCGGGGGACCUUCGGGCCUCGCGCGAUCGGAGCGGCCGAUGUCAGAUUAGGUAGUUGGUGGGGUAAAGGCCUACCAGGCCGACGAUCGGUAGCUGGUCUGAGAGGACGACCAGCCACACUGGGACUGAGACACGGCCCAGACUCCUACGGGAGGCAGCAGUGGGGAAUUUUGGACAAUGGGCGCAAGCCUGAUCCAGCCAUUCCGCGUGCAGGACGAAGGCCUUCGGGUUGUAAACUGCUUUUGUAUGGAACGAAAAGGCUCUGGCUAAUACCUGGGGCUCAUGACGGUACCGUAAGAAUAAGCACCGGCUAACUACGUG
Molecule: ribosomal RNA, 484 nt
Filed under: uncultured bacterium
Lineage: Bacteria
Description: partial 16S ribosomal RNA
Rfam family: Bacterial small subunit ribosomal RNA
Source: RNAcentral